This 215-nucleotide unclassified non-coding RNA is filed under the name Hebeloma hiemale. RNAcentral's name for it is "partial internal transcribed spacer 2". Lineage: Eukaryota; Fungi; Basidiomycota; Agaricomycetes; Agaricales; Hymenogastraceae. The record is from RNAcentral. RNAcentral also lists the same sequence under 1 other name.
AAUUCUCAACUGUUAUCAACUUUUGCUGAUAAUGGCUUGGAUGUGGGGGUCUAUUUUGCUGGCUUCUUCUCAGAUAGUCAGCUCCCCUUAAAUGCAUUAGCUGGUGCCCCGCGUGGACUGUCUAUUGGUGUGAUAAUUAUCUACGCUAUGGACAUCUGCAAUCAUAUGGGUUUGCGCUGCUUCUAACAGUCUGUUGAUUCAGACAAUACAUGACA